GCAUAACACACUGCGGCUAUAUGUACACGAAUAUUUUAUUAUUAUUAUAUUGGGAUAUAUAAGACAGUUUAACAACCAAAACAACCAGGGUUUAGCCGAAAUACAAGUCUUGCAUAGAAGGUUACCAUCACGACAACAACUACAUUUGAAGGAUUUGCGUACCUGGGUUUCACAAGGUACAUGAU
This is a non-coding RNA of Arabidopsis thaliana (thale cress), 185 nucleotides long. RefSeq annotates it as other RNA. The record is from RefSeq. Lineage: Eukaryota; Viridiplantae; Streptophyta; Magnoliopsida; Brassicales; Brassicaceae. The transcript has a single exon.